This 572-nucleotide long non-coding RNA is filed under the name Nicotiana benthamiana. RNAcentral describes it as "long non-coding RNA (NBEN_LNC015580)". Lineage: Eukaryota; Viridiplantae; Streptophyta; Magnoliopsida; Solanales; Solanaceae. The record is from RNAcentral.
AGAUCUAAUAUGUUGUCUAAUUUCUACAUAUUAUAGGCAAUCGCAGAUCCGGCUGGCCAAGUUGCCGCCAAAUUCACUAGUAAUGUCUUCAGAUUUUCAACAAAAUCAUACAGUAGUACUUUUGGGAUCAUUUUGAACGGCUCCGGCACCAUCGCCGGACCAAGGCAGCGCAUUUUCAAAGAUUUCUCAAGCAACUUAUUUCGGUCAGGUUAGGAUUGACGGUUACCAAAGUGGACCCAUUAGUCUAUCUUGUCUUCUUUGUCUCCAGAACAAAUUGCUUCUCUUGCUUCGGAUGGAAAUGCAGAGCUACUUGGAUGAUCUACCUGGUCUAUUAAGGGCUCCUCUUCCAGAGACUACAUUACCAUAACCACCAGUAGCACAACGAGAACAAGAAUAACUGCUCAAAUUCCAAUCAUUGAGUUUCUGAAAGCCUUAUAAGAAUCUGAAGUGAUACGUUUCUGUACCAACGACCUACUUGGGAACCCUUCUCACUAUCGGCUUUUGGUGAACUACGAAUUUGUCAGAAAUUAGGGUUUGUUCUUGAAGAAAGACGAUGGAGUUUGGGGCUGAGC